AUUGAACGCUGGCGGCAUGCCUUACACAUGCAAGUCGAACGGUAACAGGUCUUCGGAUGCUGACGAGUGGCGAACGGGUGAGUAAUACAUCGGAACGUGCCCGAUCGUGGGGGAUAACGGAGCGAAAGCUUUGCUAAUACCGCAUACGAUCUACGGAUGAAAGCAGGGGACCGCAAGGCCUUGCGCGGACGGAGCGGCCGAUGGCAGAUUAGGUAGUUGGUGGGAUAAAAGCUUACCAAGCCGACGAUCUGUAGCUGGUCUGAGAGGCGGACCAGCCACACUGGGACGGAGACACGGCCCAGACUCCUACGGGAGGCAGCAGUGGGGAAUUUUGGGCAAGGGGCGAAAGCCUGGUCCAGCCAUGCCGCGUGCAGGAUGAAGGCCUUCGGGUUGUAAACUGCUUUUGUACGGAACGAAAAGACUCUUUCUAAUAAAGAGGGUCCAUGACGGUACCGUAAGAAUAAGCACCGGCUAACUACGUG
Molecule: ribosomal RNA, 482 nt
Filed under: uncultured bacterium
Lineage: Bacteria
Description: partial 16S ribosomal RNA
Rfam family: Bacterial small subunit ribosomal RNA
Source: RNAcentral